GGACUCAUGUCCUCCUCCUGGACUCAUGUCCUCCUGGACUCAUGUCCUCCUGGACUCGUACCCUCCUGGACUCAUGUCCUCCUCCUGGACUCGUACCCUCCUGGACUCAUGUCCUCCUCCUGGACUCGUUUUGUCUUUCAGAUAAAUCCUCCCAGAAUGUGCCUUCAACUUGGUUUAGUUUGUUUGUUUAUAUUUAAUUUGUUGUGUUUUUUGUUGAAGCCUUGAGCUAAGUGAGAGGUGAUCUCAGGGAAGGACGAGGUGUGUGUGUGUGUGUGUGUGUGUGUGUGUGUGUGUGUGUGUGUGUGUGUGUGUGUGUGUGUGUGUGUGUGUGUGUGUGUGUGUGUGUGUGUGUGUGUGUGUGUGUGUGUGUGUGUGUGUGUGUGUGUGUGUGUGUGUGUGUGUGUGUGUGUGUGUGUGUGUGUGUGUGUGUGUGUGUGUGUGUGUGUGUGUGUGUGUGUGUGUGUGUGUGUGUGUGGGGUACAGUGUUGUCCUUUGUGUAAAGUUUUUAUCACCGUCGUCAUGUUGAUGUUAAAAUUGUAAAUGUGUGAGCAGAAGUAGUGGGAGGCUUUAAAAGUCCAUUUUGCACUCGGGACACUGGAUCAGGACAUGUGUUAGCGGGACGUGUGUUAGCAGGACGUGUGUUAGUGGGACGUGUGUUAGCAGGACGUGUGUUAGCGGGACGUGUGUUAGCGGGACAGGAGGUGUGUUAGCGGGACGUGUGUUAGCGGGACAGGAGGUGUGUUAGCGGGACGUGUGUUAGCGGGACAGGAGGUGUGUUAGCGGGACGUGUGUUAGCGGGACAGGAGGUGUGUUAGCGGGACGUGUGUUGACAGGAGGGGUGUUAGCGGGACGUGUGUUAGCGGGACGUGUGUUAGCGGGAUAGGAGGUGUGUUAGCGGGACAGGAGGUGUGUUAGCGGGACGUGUGUUGACAGGACGUGUGUUAGCGGGACGUGUGUUAGCAGGACAGGAGGUGUGUUAGCGGGACGUGUGUUGACAGGACGUGUGUUAGCGGGACGUGUGUUAGCGGGACGUGUGUUGACAGGACGUGUGUUAGCGGGACGUGUGCGUGGUCUCCAUCUGAGUGGAGCUUCUAUGAAGACUGUAUGAUGGACAUGUGGCCACCAGGAGGCGCUGUUUAGAGAAGAUCUUGUGUACGUGUUGACAGCACGGCUUCGUUCGUCCGUCACACGAUUAUUAGAGAGGUAAACGUCUGAGGGUUAGGGGUCAUGAUGGGUUAGGGGUCAUGAUGGGUUAGGGGUCAUGAUGGGUUAGGGGUCAUGAUGGGAGAUGACGGCUCGAGAGCCUGACCCACUUUAUUAACGACCAUAAGAAACGCUAAUGCACGUGUCGGAGCGUCUUUCUGCUAAACGAGACGGAGGUUAUUGUAAAGCGUUUGAGUCGUUACAGCGGGAGGCGAUGGUUUCAUGAUUCCACCUUCUGUUCUACUAAAGUGAAGCCAAAACGCCCCGUGACGGACGCCGACGUCUGCGCUGACUAAAACACAAACCCUCCUGUUCAAAGGAGCUGCUCUGCCGUUGUCUCGUCUUUCUGCCAUCAUAUUGUUUCUGUGAUGGCGUUAUAACGGCGUCCCAGUCUGUGACUUCACGUUACGUUCUGGCGUUGUAGAAGCGCUGUUCUCCCCCGCUGGCUCAGCUAAUCCCGCCUCUCCUCUGUAACGCCUCUGAAGACAGUUCAGAGGGGGGGUCACUUUGCCCCGCCUCCACGACAUUCAGAUUGAAGGCGAGACGUCCCAUUGGCCUAAAUAUCACGGCUUGAAACGUCAAAUAACCGGUGAAGAACAACUUUUCAGAAUGAAGGGACUUGACCACAAAACAAAGUUUGAGCCGCGUCCCGUCUGUCAGCGUGGAGGAGGCGGGGUUUAUGAUCUGAUGAUGAGUUCUGCAGCCAGCCAGCAGGGGGAGGAGCUCUAACUCUUUUGGCUUCACUCUUUGAAGGAGGUGUCGUCCGUCGUCUCGCACAGUUUAUGGUCUGAAUAUCUGACAUGUUAUUGUUGUCUGUACGCUGUUUCCAUGGCAACCUUUGUUUUUAUCCUAAGGAAUAUAAAGAUUUGAAUAAUAAACAGAAUCUGGAGAAAUGUAUUUAUAUUUAAGUGCGUUUAUGAUCAGUUUUGGUAAAUAUUACACACGUGAUGAAAGUUGCUGCUAUUAGCAUCGUUAAAUUAACGAAUGAUUGAUUUAUAUUAAACUCCGGCUCGAUGCCAAAUCACGUUAUUAUCAUUAUUAUCAUUAUUAUCAUUAUUAUCAUUAUUAUUAUUUGUUUUUUCAUGUCGGAGGAGAGAGACGACACCAGCGGGGUUCGAACCCGGGCCGCCCGCUCUCGGGGACUUUAGUCUGAAUUAUUAAGAGUCGUUAUUAUCAUCUCUGUAUUUAUUGUCUGGUCUUAAAGCCAGCAGCCUGGAGGCCUCUGAUUGGUCGGUUGGUUCCUGCAGGUGGCUGUCUGGCUUUUGAUUGGUUGGCAGGUUGUGGAGCGACUCGUAGGUUGGAUUUGUUGUUCUGGUCGAUGUCGUGGUUCAUAACGGUUACGUGGUAAUGAAGUUAUGUUAUCGUGUAUAUAGUGUGUGUGUGUGUGUGUGUGUGUGUGUGUGUGUGUGUGUGUGUGUGUGUGUGUGUGUGUGUGUGUGUGUGUGUUGGCUGGCCUUACAUCCAGUUGUGUCCUUGAGUUCUUGUUAAGACGGGAAAUGACCACCAGCUGCCACUUUAUCAAACUCUAAACCCACGGUUCUCAACUGGUGGGGCGGCACCAGGAAUGGGUCGCGUGGUGGUUCUUAGUGGGUCGCAGUAACGAGUCCUAAAACUGGGACAUGAAUCAGCAUUUAGCACUUCCUGUCCUGUCGUCUGGAAGGCGUGGGUUAGAUACCCGUCUGUGGGAAACGCAGGCAUGAGAGAUUUUAACACGUUUUUCUGCCAGACUAAAAACAUCUGGACGCGCCCCACGUGUGAAUUUUGAAGCUUUUGCACAUCUUACAAAAAGAAGUUGUUAACGACUAGGACUCCGGAGUUUGCAGUUUUUCAGAGAUUAUAAAAUUCAUGUUUGUGAAGAAAAUCUGGAUGAACAAAACAAGAAGUUCUGUCCUGAAACCCGU
Labrus mixtus (cuckoo wrasse) is the source of this 3104-nucleotide long non-coding RNA. RefSeq lists it as uncharacterized. The transcript has 2 exons. The record is from RefSeq and is a predicted model, not a curated record. NCBI's taxonomy places the organism in Eukaryota, Metazoa, Chordata, Actinopteri, Labriformes, Labridae.